Small nucleolar RNA from Octodon degus (degu), 104 nucleotides. RefSeq annotates it as small nucleolar RNA U13. NCBI's taxonomy places the organism in Eukaryota, Metazoa, Chordata, Mammalia, Rodentia, Octodontidae. The transcript has a single exon. The record is from RefSeq and is a predicted model, not a curated record.
AGCCUUUGGUUCCUGAGCGCGAUCAUGGGUGUUCAUGCCUUACGCAUGAGAUGUGCCUCCCUCAAACCUUAUUAUGAUGUGGGCACCACAUUACCUGUCUGACA